GGUGUGCUUUUGUGGAUGCAAAGGCUCUAAUAAUUGGCACCUCAAGGAUCUCCUAAAGAGAGUUAAAUAACUAAAGGAAUAAGGAUUCCUAAUGCAAGUAGAUGUUGUAUUAAGUGGUUGUUUGAUUUUGAAUAGGAUUCAAAUCUAAUACUUAUUUAAAGGGGCCUUCUCUAAGGCCUCUAGGCAAUUCAACUAGCAGCCCCAUGCCUCUCUUGAAGAGCCCACACCCCUUCUUUCCCUCCCCCCUCUCUUCUCCCUUGG
RNAcentral lists this long non-coding RNA (261 nucleotides) under Elaeis guineensis (African oil palm). RNAcentral's name for it is "long non-coding RNA (EGUI_LNC053932)". Lineage: Eukaryota; Viridiplantae; Streptophyta; Magnoliopsida; Arecales; Arecaceae. The record is from RNAcentral.